GUGCCAGCAGCAGCGGUAAUACGUAGGGUGCGAGCGUUAAUCGGAAUUACUGGGCGUAAAGCGUGCGCAGGCGGUGAUGUAAGACAGAUGUGAAAUCCCCGGGCUCAACCUGGGAACUGCAUUUGUGACUGCAUCGCUGGAGUGCGGGCAGGAGGGGGAUGGAAUUCCGCGUGUAGCAGUGAAGUGCGUAGAUAUGCGGAGGAACACCGAUGGCGAAGGCAAUCCCCCUGGGCCUGCACUGACGCUCAUGCACGAAAGCGUGGGGA
This 266-nucleotide ribosomal RNA is filed under the name uncultured Ramlibacter sp. Its description in RNAcentral is "partial 16S ribosomal RNA". It matches the Rfam family "Bacterial small subunit ribosomal RNA", at positions 505 to 767 of the family's 1533-position model. The record is from RNAcentral. Lineage: Bacteria; Pseudomonadati; Pseudomonadota; Betaproteobacteria; Burkholderiales; Comamonadaceae.